Molecule: ribosomal RNA, 439 nt
Filed under: Asclepios annandalei
Lineage: Eukaryota; Metazoa; Arthropoda; Insecta; Hemiptera; Gerridae
Description: partial large subunit ribosomal RNA
Rfam family: Bacterial large subunit ribosomal RNA
Source: RNAcentral
GUUCUUUUGCUUUUAAUUUAAGAUCGGGCCUGCCCAUUGAUUUAAAUUAUUAAAAGGCUGCGGUAUUUUAACUGUACGAAGGUAGCAUAAUCAUUUGUCUUUUAAUUGAAGGCUGGUAUGAAUGGUUUGAUGAGAAAUAGACUUUCUUUGAAUAAUUUAUUUGAAUUUAAUUUUUUAGUUAAAAAGCUAAAAUUUUUUUAUAGGACGAGAAGACCCUAUAGAGGUUAACUAUUUUUAUUAAUUGUUUUUUUUUGUUUAUUAAAUUACUAUUUAGAAUAAAUAGUUUUGUUGGGGUGACAAUGAAAUUUAAUUAACUUUCAUUAAUUUUUUCAUAAAUUUAUGUUUUUUUGAUCCGAAAUUUUCGAUUAAAAGAUUAACCUACCUUAGGGAUAACAGCGUAAUUUUUUUGGAGAGUUCAUAUCGAUAAAAAAGUUUGCGA